GUAUACAAUCUGCCUUGUACUGGGGGAUAGCCUUUAGAAAUGAAGAUUAACACCCCAUAAUAUAUUUAGGCCGCAUGUCUUUAUAUUAAAGGUUACGGUACAAGAUGAGUAUGCGUCCUAUUAGCUAGUUGGUAUGGUAACGGCAUACCAAGGCAACGAUAGGUAGGGGCCCUGAGAGGGGGAUCCCCCACACUGGUACUGAGACACGGACCAGACUCCUACGGGAGGCAGCAGUGAGGAAUAUUGGACAAUGGGGGGAACCCUGAUCCAGCCAUGCCGCGUGCAGGAAGACUGCCCUAUGGGUUGUAAACUGCUUUUGUACGGGAAGAAACCGCUCUACGCGUAGAGCCUUGACGGUACCGUAAGAAUAAGCAUCGGCUAACUCCGUGCCAGCAGCCGCGGUAAUACGGAGGAUGCAAGCGUUAUCCGGAAUCAUUGGGUUUAAAGGGUCCGUAGUGGGCCGGUCAGUCAGAGGUGAAAUCCUGCAGCUCAACUGUAGAACUGCCUUUGAUACUGCCGGUCUUGAAUCGUUGUGAAGUGGUUAGAAUAUGUAGUGUAGCGGUGAAAUGCAUAGAUAUUACAUAGAAUACCGAUUGCGAAGCAGAUCACUAACAGCGUAUUGACACUGA
Molecule: ribosomal RNA, 629 nt
Filed under: uncultured bacterium
Lineage: Bacteria
Description: bacterial SSU rRNA
Rfam family: Bacterial small subunit ribosomal RNA
Source: RNAcentral